RNAcentral lists this ribosomal RNA (770 nucleotides) under Paenarthrobacter nitroguajacolicus. Its description in RNAcentral is "bacterial SSU rRNA". It matches the Rfam family "Bacterial small subunit ribosomal RNA", at positions 56 to 838 of the family's 1533-position model. The record is from RNAcentral. Lineage: Bacteria; Bacillati; Actinomycetota; Actinomycetes; Micrococcales; Micrococcaceae.
UGCAAGUCGAACGAUGAUCCCAGCUUGCUGGGGGAUUAGUGGCGAACGGGUGAGUAACACGUGAGUAACCUGCCCUUGACUCUGGGAUAAGCCUGGGAAACUGGGUCUAAUACCGGAUACGACCAUCUGGCGCAUGUCAUGGUGGUGGAAAGCUUUUGUGGUUUUGGAUGGACUCGCGGCCUAUCAGCUUGUUGGUGGGGUAAUGGCCUACCAAGGCGACGACGGGUAGCCGGCCUGAGAGGGUGACCGGCCACACUGGGACUGAGACACGGCCCAGACUCCUACGGGAGGCAGCAGUGGGGAAUAUUGCACAAUGGGCGCAAGCCUGAUGCAGCGACGCCGCGUGAGGGAUGACGGCCUUCGGGUUGUAAACCUCUUUCAGUAGGGAAGAAGCGAAAGUGACGGUACCUGCAGAAGAAGCGCCGGCUAACUACGUGCCAGCAGCCGCGGUAAUACGUAGGGCGCAAGCGUUAUCCGGAAUUAUUGGGCGUAAAGAGCUCGUAGGCGGUUUGUCGCGUCUGCUGUGAAAGACCGGGGCUCAACUCCGGUUCUGCAGUGGGUACGGGCAGACUAGAGUGCAGUAGGGGAGACUGGAAUUCCUGGUGUAGCGGUGAAAUGCGCAGAUAUCAGGAGGAACACCGAUGGCGAAGGCAGGUCUCUGGGCUGUAACUGACGCUGAGGAGCGAAAGCAUGGGGAGCGAACAGGAUUAGAUACCCUGGUAGUCCAUGCCGUAAACGUUGGGCACUAGGUGUGGGGGACAUUCCACGUU